This 253-nucleotide ribosomal RNA is filed under the name uncultured bacterium. RNAcentral describes it as "partial 16S ribosomal RNA". It matches the Rfam family "Bacterial small subunit ribosomal RNA", at positions 524 to 776 of the family's 1533-position model. The record is from RNAcentral.
UACGGGGGGGGCAAGCGUUGUUCGGAAUUACUGGGCGUAAAGGGCUCGUAGGCGGCCAACUAAGUCAGACGUGAAAUCCCUCGGCUUAACCGGGGAACUGCGUCUGAUACUGGAUGGCUUGAGAUUGGGAGAGGGAUGCGGAAUUCCAGGUGUAGCGGUGAAAUGCGUAGAUAUCGGGAGGAACACCAAUUGCGAAGGCAGCUCGCUGGGACGUCACUGACGCUGAGACGCGAAAGCGUGGGGAGCAAACAGG